UUCCAUUUCUAGAGGAAAUCACUGUAAUUGAAUGCCCAUUGCUUAGGAAGCUUCCACUCAACACUGAAAGCGCAAAAGGUAAAGUUGUCAUUGAAGCAGAUAAACACUGGUGGGAUAGUGUUCAAUGGGAUGAUGAAGCUUCUAAAACUGCUUUUCAGUCCGGUUUCCAAGAUCUUGGGGGACGGUCUUGAUUUUCAUUUGUGCAUUAUUUUCUGUCCUGGAAAGUCUUGUAUUGGUCCAUGCAAUAUAACCAUAA
Molecule: unclassified non-coding RNA, 256 nt
Filed under: Hevea brasiliensis (rubber tree)
Lineage: Eukaryota; Viridiplantae; Streptophyta; Magnoliopsida; Malpighiales; Euphorbiaceae
Source: RNAcentral